CAGCCUCCCCCAAGCCCACCCCCACCAUCGACGACCCUCACCGUAGAUGAGGUCGAGCUCCUCCUCCCCUCUCCCUCCCACGGAUCUCUCUCGCCCCUCUCGAUCCCUCUCGAAGCUCCCGCAUCCCAUCCUUCUACUCCCAAACUCCGCGGCCCGGAUCAGAUUCCUUGAAUUAUGAUGUACCAGAUCGAAGCGGAGUGGGGGCGGGAGCGAGCUCGUUGGUGCUGGGCGGCCGCUCCUCCCGCCUUCGUCGAUGACCACCUACUCCCGCCUAAUGGUUGUUACUAGUAGUAUCCGAUACAAUCCAGCAGCGGCCAUGCCGCCGAGGGGAGGAUCCACUCCAGCAUCUUCCAUGUCGCCCCAGGCUAGUGCGGCCCUGGCCAUGGCAGGAGGGGAGGAGCCCGAAACUCCGACGGCCGGCUCCCGCGCCGCUCCGUCUCCUUCCUCAAGCUCCAAGGACGGAAGCGCGCCUUGGUCCAUCUCCAUCUCCGGUGAGGACGACUGAAGCCCGCCAUGGAAGCUCCCUUCCAGAUCCACCAUGGGAGAGCAAGGAUGCGGGAGCUCCCUCUACUUCCCCUCCUGUGUCGUCAAGCUUCAGUUUCAUCUCUGCUUUCCAAUUUCAUUUGCAGCAGCAGCAACAGCCAUUGGUAUGGUACAACAGGCAACAGAGGAAGAUGGACAGCUGAAUCACCAUUCUUCUCGACACAGCAGCAAGACUUCUUAGUUCAGUUUCUACCAUUGGAUAUUUCAUUGUCACACUGCUUGCUUGCUUCUUCACAAGAGGAAGACCGUGGAUGGAUGGAUGGGUGGAUACAUGCAUACAACAGGGAAAAAAUCAGCUUCCUUUCAAGUUAAGAUACUACUAGUAACAACCAUUAGUCGUCUCAUCAUCGAUUGAAUCUCCUGUUCAUCCAGAUCGACACGGCCGCGCGCGACCACGCAGCGUCUGCGGCGCUGCUGAAGGAGCUCCUGGCGCAUCUGAAGUUUAUGGAGGCCUGGGGGUGGCCAAUCGGCUUGACCUCGUGGGGCCCAUCGUCUAGCAGCCCGAGUACAACCUCUUCUCCCGCCACAAGAUAGUUGCGACUCCUUUAUAAUUGACAUGCUUAUUGUUUCUCAAUGAAGAUAGUACAAGCAGACGGGCGGUCUGAACUGAUGCCAUGUUGAUAUGUCUGCAUCAUCUGUGCUUACCCUUGUGGAUAGCAUCUGAGAGAAAACAAGAUCUUUCAUUUUCAGCAAUAGGUGUUUGUUCUCUAAUUCUCAUAUUUGUGCCAUAGUUUGUAUUCUUCCUAGUAGUUAGAUGGGGUUAAAUUUUUAACUUGACUCCAAGAUCCAAUCCAAUGGGGUCAUAGUGGGCAUGGGUAGGGCGAUGGUUUACUUAUUAACCCUUUGAAGUGUUUGCCAUUGCCCUGGAGUCAAAUGGUCUGACCGAGAUUCUCAGUUUUGGACAAUCUUCAAAUUCUUUUGACUCUUCCUACUUGUAUAUCCUUACACAAUCAAUAAAAAAUUCCAAGUGAACAAA
Triticum dicoccoides is the source of this 1519-nucleotide long non-coding RNA. RefSeq lists it as uncharacterized. The record is from RefSeq and is a predicted model, not a curated record. Lineage: Eukaryota; Viridiplantae; Streptophyta; Magnoliopsida; Poales; Poaceae. The transcript is spliced from 3 exons.